GUUGUAUGGUUAAGUGACUAAGCGUACACGGUGGAUGCCUUGGCAGUCAGAGGCGAUGAAAGACGUAGUAACUUGCGAUAAGCCCAGAUUAGGUAGUAACAACCAUUUGAGUCUGGGAUUUCUGAAUGGGGAAACCCACGUGCAUAAGCACGUAUCCUUACCUGAAUACAUAGGGUAAGGAGGCGAACCGGGGGAACUGAAACAUCUAAGUACCCCGAGGAAAAGAAAUCAACCGAGAUUCCGAAAGUAGCGGCGAGCGAAAUUGGACUAGCCCUUAAGCUUUACACGCGUUAGACGAACGGUCUGGAAAGUCCGACGAUACAGGGUGAUAGUCCCGUAGUUGACGACGUGUGUUCAGUGAAAUCGAGUAGGGCGGGACACGUGAUAUCCUGUCUGAAUAUGGGGGGACCAUCCUCCAAGGCUAAAUACUACUGACUGACCGAUAGUGAACCAGUACCG
RNAcentral lists this ribosomal RNA (459 nucleotides) under Vibrio parahaemolyticus. RNAcentral describes it as "bacterial LSU rRNA". It matches the Rfam family "Bacterial large subunit ribosomal RNA", at positions 1 to 503 of the family's 2925-position model. The record is from RNAcentral. Lineage: Bacteria; Pseudomonadati; Pseudomonadota; Gammaproteobacteria; Vibrionales; Vibrionaceae.